This is a non-coding RNA of Puma concolor (puma), 237 nucleotides long. The record is from RefSeq and is a predicted model, not a curated record. NCBI's taxonomy places the organism in Eukaryota, Metazoa, Chordata, Mammalia, Carnivora, Felidae.
CUAUCCCCUAGGGCUCAUCUAAGACCUAAGAUGGCGGCGUUUGUACCGAGGGAAAGUCCCGACCAAGUACUGGGUGUGGAAAGCAGCCAAUGGACAAAUCUAUUAAGGAAGGUCUCAGAUGAGGACUUCUGGGCAUACAUUUAUUCUGGAAGCACAUUGUUCCGUUCAGAAGUAGGGGUGUGUGUGUGUGUGUGUACAGUAGGCUUUAUGCCCAGUGUGGAACCCAGCACAGAGCCC